RNAcentral lists this ribosomal RNA (253 nucleotides) under uncultured bacterium. RNAcentral's name for it is "partial 16S ribosomal RNA". It matches the Rfam family "Bacterial small subunit ribosomal RNA", at positions 524 to 776 of the family's 1533-position model. The record is from RNAcentral.
UACAGAGGGUGCAAGCGUUAAUCGGAAUGACUGGGCGUAAAGCGUGUGUAGGUGGUUGUAUAAGUUAGAUGUGAAAUCCCUGGGCUUAACCUGGGAAUUGCGUUUAAGACUGUUCAGCUAGAGUACUGUAGAGGGUAGUGGAAUUUCCAGUGUAGCGGUGAAAUGCGUAGAUAUUGGAAGGAACACCAGUGGCGAAGGCGACUACCUGGAUAGAUACUGACACUGAGACACGAGAGCGUGGGGAGCAAACAGG